This 484-nucleotide ribosomal RNA is filed under the name uncultured bacterium. RNAcentral's name for it is "partial 16S ribosomal RNA". It matches the Rfam family "Bacterial small subunit ribosomal RNA", at positions 30 to 507 of the family's 1533-position model. The record is from RNAcentral.
AUUGAACGCUGGCGGCAUGCCUAACACAUGCAAGUCGAGCGGAUGAAGGGGGCUUGCUCCUGGAUGCAGCUGCGGACGGGUGAGUAAUUCCUAGGAAGCUGCCUUGUAUUUGGGGAUAACGUCCGGAAACGGGCGCUAAUACCGCAUACGUCCUGAGUGUGAAAGGGGGGGAUCUUCGGACCUCGCGCUAUCAGAUGAGCCUAGUUCGCAUUAGCUAGUUGGUUAGGUAACGGCUUACCAAGGCGACGAUCCGUAACCGACCUGAGAGGAUGAUCAGCCACACUGGAACUGAGACACGGUCCAGACUCCUACGGGAGGCAGCAGUAGGGAAUCUUGCGCAAUGGGCGAAAGCCUGACAGAGCAACGCCGCGUGAGUGAUGAAGGUCUUCGGAUCGUAAAACUCUGUUAUUAGGGAGGAACAUAUGUGUAAGUAACUGUUCACAUCUUGACGUUACCUAAUCAGAAAGCCACGGCUAACUACGUG